Molecule: long non-coding RNA, 2732 nt
Organism: Homo sapiens (human)
Lineage: Eukaryota; Metazoa; Chordata; Mammalia; Primates; Hominidae
Source: Ensembl
AACAAAAACAAGCGCCUGAGUGGCAAGGCUGCCAGCGCCCAGCCCAGCCGAGCAGGCAUAAAGGAGCCCGCGUCGCGGAUGUUUGUGACCUGUCAUUAGAGACAGCUCCCUCAGCUUCCAAACGAUCACAUGGAGACAAUGUGGCAAAUUAUAUUUGUACCAGCAAAGAUCCUUGUCGAGCCGCGAAGGGAAGCCAGCUGCCAUGUCAUCAGCCGCCCUGUGGAGUGGCCCUGCUGGCAAGGAACUGAUGUCUUUAGCCAACAGCCAGCAAGGAUCUGAGGCCCUCAGACCAAAAACCAUCAAAGAACUAAAUGCUGCCAACAACCACGGGAGGGAGCUGAGAAGUGGAUUCUCCACCAGUCCCAGCCUAGAGAUGACUGCAGCCCUGGCUGACACCUUGAUUGCAGCUUUGUGAACCAGAGACACCCAGGUGAGAGAAGAAGUUUAAGUUCUGCUUACAAAUGAGGUAAUUUAUCUUGCCUGGCAGGUGCCUGAAGAUUUUCUUCAAGUUCAAUACUGUACAUAGGGUAAACUUUGAUAUUAACUGAAUUGGAAUGUUCCUGGAACAUGGUUCAAUUUUAUCUGCAGUUUCAGUGAUAUCUUAAAAUUCAGAUAAUUCUCUUAUAUCUUUGAAUAUAUCUUCUAUUUUGUGGUUUUUCAAUUCAGAUACAUCAAUUCUUCUUAUAUUGGAUUAUGUUUAUCUACCACAUAUAUUGUCUCCUAUUUAAUUUUUUUAUUUGCGAUAUUGUCAGUAAUUUAAUAUUCACCAGUUUUUAUUGUUUUAAUUUUAUAUUAGCUCUAUAAUGUUGUAUUUUAUAAGAAAUUCUUUUUAAAAUCUCAUUUUCUUGUUGCCUUACUGAUUUGAUAUUUUUAUUCCAAUUUACUCUAGCAAGAAAUGAGUGUGAUUAAUAUGCUUCUAUUGGCUUAAGUUAAAUUUUUAGGGGCGGGUGUGUUGGCUCACACCUGUAAUCCUAGCACCUUGGGAGGCCGAGGUAGGUGGAUCACCUGAGGUCAGGAGUUCAAGACCAACCUGGCCAACAUGAUGAAACCCCAUCUCUAUUAAAUAUACAAAAAUUAGCCAGGUGUGGUGGUGCGUGCCUGUAAUCCCACCGACUUGGGAGGCUGAGGAAGGAGAAUCGCUUGACCUGGGAGGUAGAGGUUGCAGUGAGCCGAGAUCAUGCCACUGCACUCCAGCCUGCAUGACGGGAGUAAGACUCCACCUCAAAAAAAAAAAAAAAAGUGUUAGCUAGGUUAGGCUUUGUGUCUUCUGCAUACUAUAAUCCCUUUUUUUUUUUAUUUUCUUCUGCUCAGUGGUUUUUUUUUUUUUUGGUCAAAAAGUUAUUUUAUUGUAUUAUUUUAUUUAUUAUUAAUCAAACUUUUUAUUUUGAGAUAAUUUAGAUUCACAUGUGGUUGUAAAAAGUAAUACAGAGAAAUUCUGUGUAUCCUUUGUCAAUUUCCCUCAAUGAUAACAUCUUGUAAAACUGUAAUACGACAUUAAGACUAGCAUAUUGACAUUGAUACAAAUCUUACUCAGAUUUUCUCCAUUUUACUUGGGCUUAUGUGUGUGUCUAUGUCUGUGCAUGUGUGUGUUUGUAUUUAGCACUAUGCAAUUUUUAUUGCCUGUGUAGGCUGGCAUAUUUACCACCAAAGUCAAAAUACAGAAUGGCUUCACCACCAUGAGGAUACAGUAGGUUGUCCUUUGUAACCAUAAUUGACUAUUUUGGACAUUUUAUAUAAAUGGAAUAAUGUAAUAUAUGGUCCUUUGUGACUGGCCUCUUCCAUUUAGCAUAAUGUUCCAGGGUUCAUCUCUAUUGUAGCACUUUCCACUGCUUCAUUCCUUUUUAUUGCUGAAUAACAUUUCACUUUAUUGAUAUACCAUAUUUUGUUUAUUUAUUCAUUAGUUAAUGGACAUUUGAGUUGUUUCCACUUUUUGGCUAUUAUGAGUAAUACUAAUGCGAACAUUCAUGUACAAGUUUUGGUGUGGUCCUAUGUUUUCAUUUCUUUUGGGUUGAUACCUACGAGUAGUGCCGCUGGGUGAUACGGUAACUCUAUGUUUAACUCUUUGAGGAACUGACAGAGUGUGUUCUAAAGUGGCUGCACCACCUCACAUCCUCACUCGCAGUGUAUGAAGCUUCCAAUUUCUCCACAUUAUCUGUUUGUUGUUCUUUUUUGAGACAGGGUCUCAUUCUGUCACUCAGGCUGGAGUGCAGUGGUGCGAUCUCGGCUCACUGUAACUUCUGCCUCCCAGGUUCAAAUGAUUUUCUUACCUCAGCCUCCUGAGCAGCUGGGACUACAGGUACACCCCCACACCUGGCUAAUUUUUGUAUUUUUAGUAGAGACGGGGUUUUAGCAUGUUGGUCAGACUGGUCUUUAAUUCCUGGCCUCAAGUGAUCCUCCUGCCUGGGCCUCACAAAGUGUUGGGAUUACAGGCAUGAGCCGCUGUGCCCAGCCAUCUGUUUUUCUGAAUAGAGACAUCCUAGUGUUUGUGAAGAGGUAGCUGGCAUAGUUGUUGUUGUUGUUUUUAAUGUAGAGUCUUUCUCUGCUAUAUCUCAUGUAGUUUUGAUUUGCAUUUCCCUGGCUAAUGAUGUUGAGGACCUUUUCGUGUGUUCAUUAGCCAUUUUUAUAUCUUCUUUGUCCAAAUGUGUGUUUGAUUUUUUACUCAUUUUAAACUGGGUUACUUCCUUAUUAUUGAGUUGUAAGAGUUCUUUAUAUUGUCUUUCCAUAAGUCCCUU